UAGGGAAUCUUCGGCAAUGGACGAAAGUCUGACCGAGCAACGCCGCGUGAGUGAAGAAGGUUUUCGGAUCGUAAAACUCUGUUGUUAGAGAAGGACAAGGACGUUAGUAACUGAACGUCCCCUGACGGUAUCUAACCAGAAAGCCACGGCUAACUACGUGCCAGCAGCCGCGGUAAUACGUAGGUGGCAAGCGUUGUCCGGAUUUAUUGGGCGUAAAGCGAGCGCAGGCGGUUUCUUAAGUCUGAUGUGAAAGCCCCCGGCUCAACCGGGGAGGGUCAUUGGAAACUGGGAGACUUGAGUGCAGAAGAGGAGAGUGGAAUUCCAUGUGUAGCGGUGAAAUGCGUAGAUAUAUGGAGGAACACCAGUGGCGAAGGCGGCUCUCUGGUCUGUAACUGACGCUGAGGCUCGAAAGCGUGGGGAGCAAACAGG
RNAcentral lists this ribosomal RNA (429 nucleotides) under Gemmatimonadota bacterium. RNAcentral's name for it is "Gemmatimonadetes bacterium partial 16S ribosomal RNA". It matches the Rfam family "Bacterial small subunit ribosomal RNA", at positions 355 to 776 of the family's 1533-position model. The record is from RNAcentral. Lineage: Bacteria; Pseudomonadati; Gemmatimonadota.